GCCACGGACGCUCUAUGGCAGAGCCUACGGGAUGAUAGCCCUGGUAGAAGCUGGUUCGAAUCCGGCCCGUGGUU
This 74-nucleotide transfer RNA is filed under the name Caudoviricetes sp. RNAcentral's name for it is "tRNA-Ile". Lineage: Duplodnaviria; Heunggongvirae; Uroviricota; Caudoviricetes. The record is from RNAcentral.